This 253-nucleotide ribosomal RNA is filed under the name uncultured bacterium. RNAcentral's name for it is "partial 16S ribosomal RNA". It matches the Rfam family "Bacterial small subunit ribosomal RNA", at positions 524 to 776 of the family's 1533-position model. The record is from RNAcentral.
UACAGAGGUCCCAAGCGUUGUUCGGAUUCAUUGGGCGUAAAGGGUGCGUAGGUGGCGUCGUAAGUCGGGUGUGAAAUCUCGGGGCUUAACUCCGAAACUGCAUUCGAUACUGCGGUGCUUGAGGACUGGAGAGGAGACUGGAAUUUACGGUGUAGCAGUGAAAUGCGUAGAGAUCGUAAGGAAGACCAGUGGCGAAGGCGGGUCUCUGGACAGUUCCUGACGCUGAGGCACGAAGGUCAGGGGAGCAAACGGG